Molecule: ribosomal RNA, 254 nt
Filed under: uncultured bacterium
Lineage: Bacteria
Description: partial 16S ribosomal RNA
Rfam family: Bacterial small subunit ribosomal RNA
Source: RNAcentral
UACGUAGGGUGCGAGCGUUGUCCGGAAUUAUUGGGCGUAAAGAGCUCGUAGGCGGUGUGUCACGUCGGCCGUGAAAACCUGCAGCUUAACUGUGGGCGUGCGGUCGAUACGGGCAUCACUGGAGUUCGGCAGGGGAGACUGGAAUUCCUGGUGUAGCGGUGAAAUGCGCAGAUAUCAGUAGGAACACCGGUGGCGAAGGCGGGUCUCUGGGCCGGUACUGACGCUGAGACGCGAAAGCGUGGGGAGCGAACAGG